UAAUACGUAGGGUGCGAGCGUUAAUCGGAAUUACUGGGCGUAAAGGGUGCGCAGGCGGUUUUGUAAGUCAGAUGUGAAAUCCCCGGGCUUAACCUGGGAAUUGCGUUUGAAACUACAAGACUAGAGUGUGGCAGAGGGAGGUGGAAUUCCAUGUGUAGCAGUGAAAUGCGUAGAGAUAUGGAAGAACAUCGAUGGCGAAGGCAGCCUCCUGGGUUAACACUGACGCUCAUGCACGAAAGCGUGGGGAGCAAACAGGAUUAGAUACCCUGGUAGUCCACGCCCUAAACGAUGUCAACUAGUUGUCGGGCCUUACUAGGCUUGGUAACGAAGCUAACGCGUGAAGUUGACCGCCUGGGGAGUACGGUCGCAAGAUUAAAACUUAAAUGAAUUGACGG
This 395-nucleotide ribosomal RNA is filed under the name uncultured Nitrosomonadales bacterium. Its description in RNAcentral is "bacterial SSU rRNA". It matches the Rfam family "Bacterial small subunit ribosomal RNA", at positions 521 to 916 of the family's 1533-position model. Lineage: Bacteria; Pseudomonadati; Pseudomonadota; Betaproteobacteria; Nitrosomonadales. The record is from RNAcentral.